UGUCCAAGAGCACAUGUGUCUUUGGCACCAUCGGUGGUUGCAAGGUUCCGGAAGAAAGGAGAGGCAACCGUGUGUGAGAGUUAACCCAAGUGUGCUGCCCACGGAUGACAGGACUGGAGUUGACAGAAACCACAGCAAGUGGUUUUGCAAGGAUCCUUCUUUCUCCUUCAGAUAUUUAUAUCUUCUGCCAUCGUUUCAACAAAGCCUGUCUUGGUGGUGCCUUUACCUGGACAUCCAGCAACGAGCUGGCAUUUGACAUGCAGGGAUACAUACACACAGGGUUACCUCUGUGAGAGUGUGUGUGUGUGUGUGUGUGUGUGUGCGCGCGCACGCACACCCAGCAGACCCCCGACAUCCCAGAGUGCAGACACCAAUGCCUCCAAGACCCACAAAUUCAGCACAGCAAAUGCACCGACUUCACCAAGAACAAACAGUCAAGCUCCAGUGUGGCUCCUGGGUGGCUGGCUAGGUUCCUCCAGAGUUACACAUCCCGGGAAGGGCGGGGACAGGAGCACCACACCCCCAAAGCCGCACCCACUCCAGUGGACCCGUGAAUGCCAGUCGUUGGAGAGACGCGACUUUCCAGCACAGACCUAGGGGACUGGACUGGAGCUCUGCUUCCAGGAAGCGUGGCUGGAGACCUUGAGCAAGUCACCUCUCCGCUUGGAGCUCAGGUCUCCUCCUGUUCCCUGCGGGGACGGUCAGUCCUGUCCGGCCUCUCUCGAGAUUAUCGUGAGGACUGAACUGCUGGACGUGUACCAAACCGUCCGUGCGCUGUUCGGUCCCGUGUGAGCAUGGGGCUGAUCUUCCAGGCGUGUGGCUGCACGCGUUUUAGGAUCAGUUAGCACCUGCGACCGCAGACCUCCUCCCAGGGCUGUGCUAGGGAUGCAGGAUGUCACAACGCUGAGCGCCCAGCUCACAGCAAGAGCUUCGAAAAUCAAUCUCCUUCUCCUCUUCCUCUCCCCCUCCCUCUUCAUUAUAAGCAUUAUUAUUAAUUGUUAUUCUACACAAAGCGAAGACAUGCUUUAGUUCGAAAACACGGAGAGGGACCAGUG
This is a long non-coding RNA of Physeter macrocephalus (sperm whale), 1055 nucleotides long. RefSeq lists it as uncharacterized. The transcript is spliced from 3 exons. The record is from RefSeq and is a predicted model, not a curated record. NCBI's taxonomy places the organism in Eukaryota, Metazoa, Chordata, Mammalia, Artiodactyla, Physeteridae.